UAAAUGAAGAUGCCAGCACUGAGGAUGAAGCUAGCUCCCUGUACAAUCUUUUUCUUAUGGCUUUGUGCAUCUCCUCUUGCAGUGGAUUCUCAGGACAUGUUAAGAUGUGCUGAAACCACUGGGAUCUUGGAUCAAGAUGCUAUACUGAACUGCUCUCUGCCCUCUGAAUAUGGUGAUGUGACUGUUUCAAAAGUUAUAUGGCAAAAAGUGGGAAGUAACAGGACAUCACUGAUUGCUUAUAAAGAGGGGAUUUUUACAAAACAAGAGCAGCGAUUCAGUCUGCAAGAGGACUGGAGUAAUACAAGCAGAGACGUGUUCCUCGUGGUGAGGAAGACCCAGGCCAGUGAUGAGGGGCACUAUCAGUGUAAAAUAGUGUCAGAUCGGGGAUUUGCAAUAUUUGAGGCUACCCUAAUUGUGACAGCUCGAGUGACAGCUGAUGAACCAGCUCCAAAGGAUGAAGAGAAGCCGAGGUAUCACUGGAUUCUAAUUGCAGCGCUGGUGGGAUUGCUGCUUGUCAUCGGAGGCUUUUUUCUUUGGCUGAAAAUUCAUAAUCCAAAGGAUGUUCCAAUGACAGGAACUCGUAUCUGUGGAGGUACAAUGAAGAACACAAAGAAUGUCUCACCCAAUUACUCACUGACAGAUGAGUCAGUAUGAGUUUCAGAAGAUAGUUCAGUGGUGUGGAGAUACAUUAUUAGUUGAUUAAUGACAAAGGAUUUGGAAAUAUUAUAUCAAAUCUCAAUUGUUAUCAUGUUUUACAAACAUUCUCUAGUGAACUGUGUAUGUGAACUUUAUCGAUUAGCUACGGCUGAACCACUUACAUUCUGUAAUUUCACUCUGGUGAAUUGUUUAUUUUGAUGUGCUUUAUACUAACUACUAUGACCUGUGAAGAUGUGAAAAAAGUUUUAUUUUCAGCAGCAGUACAAAUGAUUGACAGCUCAAAUGUACAAUGCACAGUUCCAGCUCCCAUCUGAGGAACCUGCCUGCUCUGUUCUACCUGAACCAGUUGAGGCCUCUUCCAGGUCCCAGACAGUUAGCUCUUUAUUGAUGCUUAUAAGACCUGGAGGACUCCAUACCGCAGGACCGGGUUUGGGCACCCCUGAUCAAUUUGAAAUAUAGUAUUCAAUUUUGCAGUAAGAAAGUUCCCAGGUGACCUAAUUCCUAAAUACAUCGCAUUCAAAUUGUGAAUUUCAAAUUUAACUGCUAGUUACUCUUGGAUUCCUUCACAAACAAUGGAAAGUAUAUGAAGCUGUUUGUCUUUGUAAUGCCACUGCAUCUGUUGAAAAAACUGGGGGAGAUGGGGGUGGGAUCCAUUGUGAGCAGCUCCACUGUAAAUAAUCAGUCUGUGGAUCUAGCAUUAGUAUAUCAGGUCAAAAUGAU
Polyodon spathula (Mississippi paddlefish) is the source of this 1377-nucleotide long non-coding RNA. RefSeq lists it as uncharacterized. Lineage: Eukaryota; Metazoa; Chordata; Actinopteri; Acipenseriformes; Polyodontidae. The transcript is spliced from 3 exons. The record is from RefSeq and is a predicted model, not a curated record.